CUGUUCCAUUUCUCUGAGGGACCUUUAGUUGGCUCUGUGGGACUGUUCCGGAUGGGCCUCUGGGUCACUGCCCCCAUCGCCUUGCUGAAGUCGCUCAUCAGCGUCAUCCACCUGAUCACGGCCGCCCGCAACAUGGCUGCCCUGGACGCAGCAGACCGCGCCAAGAAGAAGUGACGCUGGAGCCCCGGAUAUUCUUGGCUCAGGGCCUGGGUUGAGGGAGCUUAGGGAAGGACGUCCGUCUGGGUGCUUUUCCUCCAGUUUGCUGGCUGGCUUCUCCGUCUACCCACAGUGACCUCACAGAGAGGCCCUCCUGCCACCCAUGCUCAUGUGGUGUCCCCACCGCCCACUUGUUUGAUGUCACUGACUGUCUACAUAGUAAGACCAACUUGAACCUGGCAUAUAGUAGCUGCUUAAUAAAUACUCGUCUGUCAAUG
This 434-nucleotide non-coding RNA is filed under the name Pan troglodytes (chimpanzee). The record is from RNAcentral. Lineage: Eukaryota; Metazoa; Chordata; Mammalia; Primates; Hominidae. RNAcentral also lists the same sequence under 1 other name.